CCUACGGGAGGCAGCAGUGGGGAAUAUUGCACAAUGGGCGCAAGCCUGAUGCAGCCAUGCCGCGUGUGUGAAGAAGGCCUUCGGGUUGUAAAGCACUUUCAGCGGGGAGGAAGGCGGUGAGGUUAAUAACCUCAUCGAUUGACGUUACCCGCAGAAGAAGCACCGGCUAACUCCGUGCCGGCAGCCGCGGUAAUACGGAGGGUGCAAGCGUUAAUCGGAAUUACUGGGCGUAAAGCGCACGCAGGCGGUCUGUCAAGUCGGAUGUGAAAUCCCCGGGCUCAACCUGGGAACUGCAUUCGAAACUGGCAGGCUAGAGUCUUGUAGAGGGGGGUAGAAUUCCAGGUGUAGCGGUGAAAUGCGUAGAGAUCUGGAGGAAUACCGGUGGCGAAGGCGGCCCCCUGGACAAAGACUGACGCUCAGGUGCGAAAGCGUGGGGAGCAAACAGGAUUAGAUACCCGGGUAGUC
Molecule: ribosomal RNA, 465 nt
Filed under: uncultured Klebsiella sp.
Lineage: Bacteria; Pseudomonadati; Pseudomonadota; Gammaproteobacteria; Enterobacterales; Enterobacteriaceae
Description: bacterial SSU rRNA
Rfam family: Bacterial small subunit ribosomal RNA
Source: RNAcentral